RNAcentral lists this ribosomal RNA (253 nucleotides) under uncultured bacterium. RNAcentral describes it as "partial 16S ribosomal RNA". It matches the Rfam family "Bacterial small subunit ribosomal RNA", at positions 524 to 776 of the family's 1533-position model. The record is from RNAcentral.
UACGUAGGGUGCGAGCGUUAAUCGGAAUUACUGGGCGUAAAGCGUGCGCAGGCGGUUGUGCAAGACAGAUGUGAAAUCCCCGGGCUUAACCUGGGAAUUGCAUUUGUGACUGCACGGCUAGAGUGUGUCAGAGGGGGGUAGAAUUCCACGUGUAGCAGUGAAAUGCGUAGAGAUGUGGAGGAAUACCGAUGGCGAAGGCAGCCCCCUGGGAUAACACUGACGCUCAUGCACGAAAGCGUGGGGAGCAAACAGG